UGUCAAAUCGACGGCAUUUUGGUUAGAUCGACGCGUUGGCGUGUGAGUGGUUGAUUGAAUGUUUGUGUCGGCCGGCUCCCUGCUUGCGCAGCGAACGGUUGUUGCAUGCAUAUUUCAGUCGGGAUCGGUUACUUGUUGUGUCGGAUUUUUGUGUUGCCAACC
Molecule: unclassified non-coding RNA, 162 nt
Filed under: Echeveria tolimanensis
Lineage: Eukaryota; Viridiplantae; Streptophyta; Magnoliopsida; Saxifragales; Crassulaceae
Description: partial external transcribed spacer
Source: RNAcentral